UAUUUUAGAAUAGGUGUCUUGCUGACUUUGGAACAAUCUAAAGCAAAUUAGCAUGGAUUCUGUGCAAGGAUGACCCCAAAAUUCAUGAAGUGUUCCAUAUUUUG
Molecule: small nuclear RNA, 104 nt
Organism: Cricetulus griseus (Chinese hamster)
Lineage: Eukaryota; Metazoa; Chordata; Mammalia; Rodentia; Cricetidae
Source: Ensembl